UGUAAAUGUCUUUCCCUAUUCCAAGAUUCUUCUUGCAAUUGUGACAGAAGCUGAGAAAACUUUCAGAUGGAUAGCACAUUGGAGGACUAGUAAAAGUUUCAUUUUCUUUUCUUGAUGCAGAGUACUUAACAACACCACAACAGCUUUCAAGAAUACAAUCAUCAAAUAUAUGAGUUGUUCUUGGAUUUGGACCAUGUGAAAUUACACAAGUAUACUCCUCAGAAAGCUCCAUUUCAGCAGCAGAUAGACUACUAAAAGCCCCUGGUGAAUUUGGGAUAUCUAUGUUAGAAUUUGAGGAACCAAAUGGAGAUUUCUUCACAGGAGACAAAGAACCUAACUGAGAAUUCCUAGUCUUGAUACCAAAAUCACCAGGUGAAGGUGGUGAAUCAGUAGGGUAAUUAAAAGUAGGAGGCAAUGUAGGGAUCUGAAUCUUCAAUUGUGAACCAAGAACAACCAUUCUGCUAACAGAAUUCAUCUCUUUAGAAUCAGAUUUUUCAUCAAUCAGAGCAUCAACAAGACCAAGACCAACCCCUUUUGAGUCAAGUUUCUGAAAAUGAACUCUACUUUCUGGUUUAGGAGAUUUUGGCUCAGACCAAAAGGGGUUUCUCAGAACAGUGAAAGGUUUACUAUCAAGAAUUGAAGUAGGACUCAUAAUAGACUCAGUAUCAGGAAACCCCUUAGCAGCAAAACAAGUAAACAACCUUGGUGAACCAAAAAAAGAAGAGGUUUUUCUUGAAUUCUCCAUUGGAAAGGGUAAAGAAUUAUAAUCUGCCAUUAUAAACUUUGCUUAAAAAAUUCUGAUCUUGAACUUCUUCUUAUUCCUUGAUUAUUUCAGCUUGAAAACACCAUCAAGAUUCAACUUUUAAGCAACCCCAGAAACUAAUUUGUACCAAAAAAGCAAAGAUCCAAGGAUGAAUAAAGCAACUUUCUUUCAACAAGAAGAAUCCAUCAUAUCUGAGAACCGACAUGAGACCUCAAUAGUCAUCAUCAACACUAAACAUUUACAAAAGCAACAAAAAAAUUAGUCAUCUUUUUCUUUCUCUUCCCCUUGCUUUUUUUUUUCCUCUCUUUUGUUUCUUGUGAAUACUUACAACACUAUAUUAUUUCAGCAAAAUUGCAUCAUAAAGACACAAAGCCUUACAUGCAGA
Molecule: unclassified non-coding RNA, 1148 nt
Filed under: Hevea brasiliensis (rubber tree)
Lineage: Eukaryota; Viridiplantae; Streptophyta; Magnoliopsida; Malpighiales; Euphorbiaceae
Source: RNAcentral